AUUUAGGUGUCAAGUUCUUGGUAUUUUACUCUUUUGGCGCAUAUUGGUUGCCAAUAUAGGUUUGAGAAGUCAUUUUAUAGUUUUCCAACUUGAGUUAGAAGGAUUACAAUGGUAACAGUGGCUUGAGAUGGCAGGGUGUAGUUAUAGAAUGGUAACAUGCUGAGGUAACAUGUACCUUUUACUUUUGUCAUGUAAAAUAAGUAAGCUGUAUGCAUAUAUUACUGAAUUAUUGGAUGUAAUGAUUCACAAAAAUUUUACUUAAAAAAUUAUUUCCUCUUGUGAAUGCAGCAGCCACAAUAAAGAUAGUUUUUGCAAUUUAUAGAUCUUUAAAGUAGAUUGUUUACUUUUGUUAAAUUUGGAGUGAGUUAUGGUCAAAUUACAUAUUAAUUUAUUUUA
This 396-nucleotide unclassified non-coding RNA is filed under the name Hevea brasiliensis (rubber tree). Lineage: Eukaryota; Viridiplantae; Streptophyta; Magnoliopsida; Malpighiales; Euphorbiaceae. The record is from RNAcentral.